This 364-nucleotide ribosomal RNA is filed under the name uncultured bacterium. Its description in RNAcentral is "bacterial SSU rRNA". It matches the Rfam family "Bacterial small subunit ribosomal RNA", at positions 28 to 402 of the family's 1533-position model. The record is from RNAcentral.
GAUGAACGCUGGCGGCGUGCCUAACACAUGCAAGUCGAGCGAUUCUCUUCGGAGAAGAGCGGCGGACGGGUGAGUAACGCGUGGGUAACCUGCCUCAUACACAUGGAUAACAUACCGAAAGGUAUGCUAAUACAGGAUAACAUAAGAGAUUCGCAUGUUUCUCUUAUCAAAGCUCCGGCGGUAUGAGAUGGACCCGCGUCUGAUUAGCUAGUUGGUAAGGUAAUGGCUUACCAAGGCGACGAUCAGUAGCCGACCUGAGAGGUGAUCGGCCACAUUGGAACUGAGACACGGUCCAAACUCCUACGGGAGGCAGGCAGUGGGAAUAUGCACAAUGGGCAAAAGCCUGAUGCAGCAAACGCCGCGU